UACGUAGGGUGCGAGCGUUGUCCGGAAUUACUGGGCGUAAAGAGCUCGUAGGUGGUUUGUCGCGUUGUUCGUGAAAACUCACAGCUCAACUGUGGGCGUGCGGGCGAUACGGGCAGACUGGAGUACUGCAGGGGAGACUGGAAUUCCUGGUGUAGCGGUGGAAUGCGCAGAUAUCAGGAGGAACACCGGUGGCGAAGGCGGUUCUCUGGGCCUGUACUGACGCUGAGGAGCGAAAGCGUGAGGAGCGAACAGG
This 253-nucleotide ribosomal RNA is filed under the name uncultured bacterium. RNAcentral describes it as "partial 16S ribosomal RNA". It matches the Rfam family "Bacterial small subunit ribosomal RNA", at positions 524 to 776 of the family's 1533-position model. The record is from RNAcentral.